This 580-nucleotide ribosomal RNA is filed under the name uncultured rumen bacterium. RNAcentral describes it as "bacterial SSU rRNA". It matches the Rfam family "Bacterial small subunit ribosomal RNA", at positions 187 to 767 of the family's 1533-position model. The record is from RNAcentral.
GCAUCUGAUUUGGAACAAAGAUUAAUCGCUAAGGGAUGGGGAUGCGUCUGAUUAGGUAGUAGGCGGGGUAACGGCCCACCUAGCCAACGAUCAGUAGGGGUUCUGAGAGGAAGGUCCCCCACAUUGGUACUGAGACACGGACCAAACUCCUACGGGAGGCAGCAGUGAGGAAUAUUGGUCAAUGGACGAGAGUCUGAACCAGCCAAGUAGCGUGCAGGAUGACUGCCCUAUGGGUUGUAAACUGCUUUUAUGCGGGAAUAAAGUUCGGCACGUGUGCCGUUUUGUAUGUACCGCAUGAAUAAGGACCGGCUAAUUCCGUGCCAGCAGCCGCGGUAAUACGGAAGGUCCGGGCGUUAUCCGGAUUUAUUGGGUUUAAAGGGAGCGCAGGCCGAAGGUUAAGCGUGACGUGAAAUGUACCGGCUCAACCGGUGACUUGCGUCGCGAACUGGCUUUCUUGAGUGAGUACGACGUCAGCGGAAUUCGUGGUGUAGCGGUGAAAUGCUUAGAUAUCACGAAGAACCCCGAUUGCGAAGGCAGCUGACGAGUCCUUAACUGACGCUAAUGCUCGAAAGUGCGGGUA